This 69-nucleotide transfer RNA is filed under the name Meriones libycus (Libyan jird). RNAcentral describes it as "tRNA-Glu". Lineage: Eukaryota; Metazoa; Chordata; Mammalia; Rodentia; Muridae. The record is from RNAcentral.
GUUCCUAUAGUUGAAUAACAACGAUGGUUUUUCAUACCGUUAGUCAUAGUUUAGUGCUAUGUGGGAACU